Long non-coding RNA from Agrilus planipennis (emerald ash borer), 514 nucleotides. RefSeq lists it as uncharacterized. The transcript has 3 exons. The record is from RefSeq and is a predicted model, not a curated record. NCBI's taxonomy places the organism in Eukaryota, Metazoa, Arthropoda, Insecta, Coleoptera, Buprestidae.
CUUCUUUAUCGUUUAUUAUUUUGAUGGUACGUAAUUUUCAUAGUAAUUUGCCAUGUCUGGCAUCUAUGGUUUUUAUUCUCUAACAGUUAUCUAUUGCCCACAUCUAUGAUUUUCUUCUAUCAAUUAUCUAUUGUGUGCAAGCAUCUAUGGUUAUUUCUAUUGCCUUUAUCUAUGUCUUGAAUAAAAUUGACAGCACAUCGCCAUUUUAUGAUUUGGAUCGUUCAAAUGGUGAGAAAGGAAGAAUUAAUGUUCAGAUUGAUGGUAUUGCAACAGCCAAUGUCUUGUCUUGAUUUGCUGUUUUCGUCUUCAACUUGCAACAUUAUGCAGUUAAUAUUCAACCGAUGAGUGUGAGCCAGAGAAGAUUUAUAUAAAUCUCACUGAAACAAGUUUUCUGCUAUGAUAUUCCUUCUGGAUUUAGUUUGCUUUUCACACAUGCAAACUUGGGAACUUUACAGUAGUCUACUGUUUACUAAGAUCGACGUUGGAGAAGACAAAGAUGACCCAGUAGUUGAAA